This 253-nucleotide ribosomal RNA is filed under the name uncultured bacterium. RNAcentral's name for it is "partial 16S ribosomal RNA". It matches the Rfam family "Bacterial small subunit ribosomal RNA", at positions 524 to 776 of the family's 1533-position model. The record is from RNAcentral.
GACGUAGGAGGCGAGCGUUAUCCGGAUUCACUGGGCGUAAAGCGCAUGUAGGCGGUUCUGUAAGUCCGUUGUUAAAGCCCCCGGCUCAACUGGGGGAGGUCAAUGGAGACUAUAGGACUUGAGGGCAACAGAGGCACAUGGAACUCCCGGUGUAGCGGUGAAAUGCGUUGAUAUCGGAAGGAACGCCGGUGGCGAAAGCGACGGACUGGAUCUCUUCUGACGCUGAGGCGCGAAAGCCAGGGGAGCAAACGGG